AUUGAACGCUGGCGGCAUGCCUUACACAUGCAAGUCGAACGGCAGCACGGGUGCUUGCACCUGGUGGCGAGUGGCGAACGGGUGAGUAAUACAUCGGAACAUGUCCUGUAGUGGGGGAUAGCCCGGCGAAAGCCGGAUUAAUACCGCAUACGAUCUACGGAUGAAAGCGGGGGCCCUUCGGGCCUCGCGCUAUAGGGUUGGCCGAUGGCUGAUUAGCUAGUUGGUGGGGUAAAGGCCUACCAAGGCGACAAUCAGUAGCUGGUCUGAGAGGACGACCAGCCACACUGGGACUGAGACACGGCCCAGACUCCUACGGGAGGCAGCAGUGGGGAAUUUUGGACAAUGGGCGAAAGCCUGAUCCAGCAAUGCCGCGUGUGUGAAGAAGGCCUUCGGGUUGUAAAGCACUUUUGUCCGGAAAGAAAUCCUUGGCUCUAAUACAGUCGGGGGAUGACGGUACCGGAAGAAUAAGCACCGGCUAACUACGUG
RNAcentral lists this ribosomal RNA (486 nucleotides) under uncultured bacterium. RNAcentral describes it as "partial 16S ribosomal RNA". It matches the Rfam family "Bacterial small subunit ribosomal RNA", at positions 30 to 507 of the family's 1533-position model. The record is from RNAcentral.